GAAAGAGAAAUGCAAACCAAUUUUUUCUUUCAAAGCAAUUCUUUCUUUCCUUGGGGAACAAGGCUGCUCUAACAGGUGGAACAUUAUUAGAAUCUGUAGAAAGAUGAGGUGGUCACAUAUUUGUUCUGGAAUAUGGUGUGGGAUAACCAGAAAAAUGGAAUUGGUCAAAUUCAUCCAUUGUUUUUGACCUCAGGAAUGAAGGGCCUUAGAGUCGGAGCAUACAGGACUGCGUAAGCCUGACCUUCCAGAGCCAUCCACGGAAUAGAGGCAAGAGCUAUGUAAGCAGGUUAUGGAAAUAUGUGAUUAACCCUUGCCAAGGUGGCCCGUCAAAUGAAUGCUUGCUGGAUUUCUUCUUAAUAACUGCUCAGGAGCAGCACCCAUCCAAGCCUUUCUCCCUGCAUGCAGCUGUAGCUGGAGAACUGCUGAAGCAAUGUGCUGAUGUGCUACAGCUGGCUAAAUCCUGCAGAUGCAGUAAUGUGGCUGUGUGCCGCAGACAACUCAGGACUGCUGC
RNAcentral lists this long non-coding RNA (511 nucleotides) under Gallus gallus (chicken). Its description in RNAcentral is "lncRNA (ENSGALG00010005063.1)". The record is from RNAcentral. Lineage: Eukaryota; Metazoa; Chordata; Aves; Galliformes; Phasianidae.